This is an RNA transcript of Mus musculus (house mouse), 2528 nucleotides long. It is a transcript of the gene named ubiquitin-like 5, with no coding region annotated. The transcript has 4 exons. NCBI's taxonomy places the organism in Eukaryota, Metazoa, Chordata, Mammalia, Rodentia, Muridae. The record is from RefSeq and is marked validated.
AGACAACCCAGAAGGCGUGACUCUGGCGAGGAGGGGGCUCAGGGCGUAGUCAUAGCCGGGAGACGUGGCGAGCAGAGGCAGGUAGACCCCACGCAAGCUGGGAUGAAGAAAGCAACACGCCUAGAAAGCGUGGCUCCGACGGGCGGGGAGUGGUCCUGAGGCGUGGCCAAGGGGCCCAGGGGCCAGGAGGCCCGGGGGCCCGGGGGCCCGGGGGCCUGGAGGCCAGUCAGAGGAAAAGCAGCAAACUCCCAAAGUGGGACUCUGGGAGAGAGGAUAAAAGACAGAGACGAAGGGCAGCAGGCGUUGCAAACAAGGCCAAAGUACUAGCAUUUGAAAAAGCGCCGCCGAGUGGAAGGGUGUGGCCAGCGGCAGAGGAGCUGAUUGGAGGCCGUCCACAACAAUGGGAAGGCGUGGCUUCAGUAGGAAGAGACAAGGGGCGCGUCUAGAGCUAAGCGACUAGUGGCGUGCGGAGGUUUGGCUUGUGCUGGAAAAGGCUUAGGGUUACUGCCAAGGCAGAGAUCAGCCUGCGACCAGACCGUAUGUAUACCCAGGAGGCAUGACUUGAGCAGGGAAAAGUUAACAGAGCAACAAACCCAGAAACCAUGACUUGUGUGGGAAGGGGCUCAAGGACUAGGGAUCCUAAUUGCGCCUGAAGACUAAACUUGUAAAACCUAGCUUAGGCGGAACAAGGUCCGAUAUAGGGGAUGGAAUCAAGUUUGGAAUGGCUGGGCGACAAAGGGACAGGCUGGGAGACUUAUGACUGGAAGAAUGGAUAAGAGCAGCGACGGGGGCCCUAAAAGCAUCGCUGGAGACAGAAACAAGAGCUAAACCAGGAACUGGGUGUGCAGCUCAGUGGGAGAGCCUUUGGCUGGUAAGCAUGCUUAGCAGGCCCUAGGUUCGACCUCCAACACUAAAACAAAUACCAAAACAAAACAAGAAAAACAAACCCCACCACUUUUCUUGUAUGUAUGCCAAGAGACUUAAAGCCUGAGAAGUUUUUUUUCGAGACGGAAACGAAUCCGGUAAAGCCUGAGAAGUCUUUUCAGGACGGAAACGAGGCAUUGGGGAGACUGGAACAUAUCUAAGCACUAAAGACACAGAACAGGACUUCAUUCGAAACUGAAAGGUGUGACUGGGAUGGGAGUGAGGGGCCAGCAGGACGGCCAAGCCAGGGAGGCGUGGCCACAGCCGCAAUAGAAAGCAAGAAUAAUGCCUUUUGCUGCCUACGCAUAAGGAUUAAAUUUUGUAUAAGUCGUAUUAGGUAAGCACAAGGCGCUGGGUAAGACUUUUCUUUUUCUUGAGUCAAUAUAUGCUUACCUUGCUAAGAAUCCUGUCUGCUAAGAAGAAAUCGCUCAAUAGAGGCAAAACUGGUUGAAUUUAAGAAGGGAUUCCUCUCCCACCAGCUCUCGCGAUUCUUUAAUCUGGAACAAGAUUAAAGAAUCAAAGCAAAAGCUCUUUCCCCGUAUGCUAUUUCCAACAUCUUCGCAGGCAGGACACGGACACGCGGAGUGGUACGCAACAUGCAUGGCCUCUCAACCAGGAUCCGACUUAGUUUUCAUCAACUGCAGCCUGCACCCCUGGAGUCUCUGAAACGGUCACUACGACCAGGGGCGGGGAAGCAAGCACAGGGUUUGAGGCUGAGCUUUGAAUGAAAGCAGAAAGCCACAGGCCCUGCAUGACUCCAUUUCGGCACACCUGCAGCCGGGAUUCCGCGGUAGGAGGAUUGUCUGGCUUGGGAGUAGUCGAGCACCCCGCCGCUGAGAUCCUUUAGGUUUCUUCCAUGAUGAAGGAAUCUCCAACACCAGUUCCAACGUCCGCUGUAAAUCCAUUCUUAGCAAGUCCCAGCUCAUCCACACUGCGCAACAGAAUCGCAAAUCCUAGCCCGGAACCCGGAAGCACCUAAGGGCCGGUGGUUCCGUUAUAUCACUUCCGCUUCCUGUUUGCAGGCUUAACUCCGGCCGGGGUUCCUCGCUCGAGCUACGAGUUGUGUCGUCGAUAGGUUCGAGGAUAUUGGAGCUCCAGCCACAAUGAUUGAGGUGGUUUGCAACGACCGUCUCGGAAAGAAAGUCCGCGUUAAGUGCAAGUAUCCACCGAGGGGUGACUGGCAGUGGCUCUGGGGCAGAUGGUGGUGUUGGAUGGUUUCAGUUAAAUGACGCUUAUGGGGAGGCCUGAUUACGUCUUCCUCGGUCUACCUCUUCCUUUCAUUUACCUUAACUCCUUCGUGCCCAGCACCGAUGACACCAUCGGCGACUUGAAGAAACUGAUAGCUGCUCAAACUGGCACCCGCUGGAACAAGAUCGUUCUUAAAAAGUGGUACACGAUUUUUAAGGACCACGUGUCUCUGGGAGAUUAUGAAAUCCACGAUGGGAUGAACCUGGAGCUUUAUUACCAGUAGAGGGGGAUUCCUUCUCCUCCUCGCCCUGCUCUGCCCUGCCCUCCUCUCCCAUCCUCAUCUGACACUGGUGUAGAUGGUCAUUUUUAACAGUUCACAUGAAUAAAAACUUGGCUGCUGCUUUGCUGCUGUCAUA